AACUUUCAACAACGGAUCUCUUGGUUCUGGCAUCGAUGAAGAACGCAGCGAAAUGCGAUAAGUAAUGUGAAUUGCAGAAUUCCGUGAAUCAUCGAAUCUUUGAACGCACAUUGCGCCCCCUGGUAUUCCGGGGGGCAUGCCUGUCCGAGCGUCAUUGCAGACCAAUCAAGCCCA
RNAcentral lists this ribosomal RNA (174 nucleotides) under Pseudoamauroascus australiensis. RNAcentral describes it as "5.8S ribosomal RNA". The stretch from base 1 to 154 matches the Rfam family "5.8S ribosomal RNA". From Rfam's summary of the family: 5.8S ribosomal RNA (5.8S rRNA) is a component of the large subunit of the eukaryotic ribosome. It is transcribed by RNA polymerase I as part of the 45S precursor that also contains 18S and 28S rRNA. The record is from RNAcentral. Lineage: Eukaryota; Fungi; Ascomycota; Eurotiomycetes; Onygenales; Onygenaceae.